CGCCUGUGCGGCCUGCGGGAAGGCCCGGUCGCUGAAAUCCUCCGGGAUGAUGACGAGCACGGCGACCUCGUCGCGUUCGACGCGCGCGCGGGCAGC
Molecule: transfer RNA, 96 nt
Filed under: Chloroflexi bacterium ADurb.Bin222
Lineage: Bacteria; Bacillati; Chloroflexota
Description: tRNA-Phe
Source: RNAcentral